GAGCUGUGAAGAAACUGUGUUCGAAGUAAUGGAGGAGUCUAUAACACUUCUGAUCUUUCAGACGAUUCGUGACGCAUCUGAGCUC
This is a small nucleolar RNA of Vigna unguiculata (cowpea), 85 nucleotides long. RefSeq annotates it as small nucleolar RNA snoR114. The record is from RefSeq and is a predicted model, not a curated record. NCBI's taxonomy places the organism in Eukaryota, Viridiplantae, Streptophyta, Magnoliopsida, Fabales, Fabaceae.